AAAUUGGUAGGAAGUAUUUAAAGAUGUUGAGCUUACUGGUAGACAUAAAAUCCUAUCAAUAAAUCCUUAUCAGGCAAAGUUGUCCUAAUCACUUUUGUCUGUAUGAUACAAUCUGGAAAGAACUGUAUUCCAAUAGGCCUUUUCGAGAUAAGGCUGGUCUUAAAAAUUUUCCCGUCUGUGGCCUUGAAAUAUUCGUUAUGCUGGGCCCAAGCCUCAGGAGGCAGGAUGGCUAGAUUCAUCAUAGACUUGUGAGCACCAGUGUCUAAAAAUCCAAUGACCUUAAUGGGUCGGUCAUACUUGUUGGGCCAGAUUUGAAGAUUUACCAAUAGAGUGGUGAUAGAGCCAGUAGAAUGGAUGACUCGUGGAGUUUGGAUAUUCUGGGUCAGAUAGGAGGAAUAGUGUUCUUCACUAUUUGAGGCUGAAGAGCUGGACUCUUCAUCUCCUAUGAAAUCUACAGAUAUUUCUUGAUCUGGGCUUAAAGCAAAAACAGUAUCAUCAUCUGGCUCUUCUUGUUCAAAGAACAGGGACUCAACAUCUUCAUCAUCAUUUAA
Molecule: unclassified non-coding RNA, 551 nt
Filed under: Hevea brasiliensis (rubber tree)
Lineage: Eukaryota; Viridiplantae; Streptophyta; Magnoliopsida; Malpighiales; Euphorbiaceae
Source: RNAcentral